UACGCUUAACGUACAGGCUGCCGGAAAUACUGCAGAGCUAGGGAGUGGGAGAGGUAGACGGUACUCGGGAGGAAGUGGUAAAAUGCUUUGAUCUCUCGAUGACCACCUGUGGCGAAGGCGGUCUACCAGAACACGUCCGACGGUGAGGGAUGAAAGCUGGGGGAGCAAACCGGAUUAGAUACCCGGGUAGUCCCAGCUGUAAACUAUGCAAACUCAGUGAUGCAUUGGCUUGUGGCCAAUGCAGUGCUGCAGGGAAGCCGUUAAGUUUGCCGCCUGGGAAGUACGUACGCAAGUAUGAAACUUAAAGGAAUUGGCGGGGGAGCACCACAAGGGGUGAAGCCUGCGGUUCAAUUGGAGUCAACGCCAGAAAUCUUACCCGGAGAGACAGCAGAAUGAAGGUCAAGCUGAAGACUUUACCAGACAAGCUGAGAGGUGGUGCAUGGCCGUCGCCAGCUCGUGCCGUGAGAUGUCCUGUUAAGUCAGGUAACGAGCGAGAUCCCUGCCUCUAGUUGCCACCAUUACUCUCAGGAGUAGUGGGGCGAAUUAGCGGGACCGCCGCAGUUAAUGCGGAGGAAGGAAGGGGCCACGGCAGGUCAGUAUGCCCCGAAAAUC
Molecule: ribosomal RNA, 612 nt
Filed under: uncultured archaeon
Lineage: Archaea
Description: bacterial SSU rRNA
Rfam family: Archaeal small subunit ribosomal RNA
Source: RNAcentral